RNAcentral lists this unclassified non-coding RNA (320 nucleotides) under Hevea brasiliensis (rubber tree). The record is from RNAcentral. Lineage: Eukaryota; Viridiplantae; Streptophyta; Magnoliopsida; Malpighiales; Euphorbiaceae.
AUUAUGGGGUGAACCUAGUGAGGUAUGUUGUACAAAUUUAUAACAAAAUACAAGUGAUUAUGCUGGACUCUUAUUACUUAUCAUUGUGAUGGAUAGCUGGAAUAAGCUGGAUCACUAUCCACUGAUUUUCCUACUAGUAAUGUGAAACAUAGGAAAGACUGUGCCAUGUGUUUUGACUAGUGUGCAAAUUGGGGAAGGUUUCAUUUGUUAUUUGGUGUUAAGUGCAAGUUUCAGCUCUAGAAUAUUAAAGAAUUAGGCAAAUUUUAUUUGUUAUUUGGUGUUAAGUUCAAGUUUACUCUUGAAUAUUAAAGAAAUGGGCA